Molecule: transfer RNA, 74 nt
Filed under: Waltiozyma mucosa
Lineage: Eukaryota; Fungi; Ascomycota; Saccharomycetes; Phaffomycetales; Wickerhamomycetaceae
Description: Wickerhamomyces mucosus tRNA-Cys
Rfam family: tRNA
About the family: Transfer RNA (tRNA) molecules are approximately 80 nucleotides in length. Their secondary structure includes four short double-helical elements and three loops (D, anti-codon, and T loops).
Source: RNAcentral
GAGAGGAGUGAAUAUGGUUAUUCAUAUAAAUUGCAAAUUUAUAAAAUUAAAGGGUUCGAUUCCCUCUUCUCUCU